GACGAACGCUGGCGGCGUGCCUAAUACAUGCAAGUCGAACGCUUCUUUCUCACCGAGUGCUUGCACUCACCGAGAAAGAGGAGUGGCGGACGGGUGAGUAACACGUGGGUAACCUGCCCAUCAGAGGGGGAUAACACUUGGAAACAGGUGCUAAUACCGCAUAACAGUCAACACCGCCUGGUGUUGAAAAUGAAAGACGCUUUCGGGUGUCGCUGAUGGAUGGACCCGCGG
Molecule: ribosomal RNA, 231 nt
Filed under: uncultured bacterium
Lineage: Bacteria
Description: partial 16S ribosomal RNA
Rfam family: Bacterial small subunit ribosomal RNA
Source: RNAcentral